CUCCUUUGAAGUUAGCGGCGGACGGGUGAGUAACACGUGGGUAACCUACCUAUAAGACUGGGAUAACUUCGGGAAACCGGAGCUAAUACCGGAUAAUAUUUAGAACCGCAUGGUUCUAAAGUGAAAGAUGGUUUUGCUAUCACUUAUAGAUGGACCCGCGCCGUAUUAGCUAGUUGGUAAGGUAACGGCUUACCAAGGCGACGAUACGUAGCCGACCUGAGAGGGUGAUCGGCCACACUGGAACUGAGACACGGUCCAGACUCCUACGGAAGGCAGCAG
Molecule: ribosomal RNA, 279 nt
Filed under: uncultured bacterium
Lineage: Bacteria
Description: partial 16S ribosomal RNA
Rfam family: Bacterial small subunit ribosomal RNA
Source: RNAcentral